UACGAAGGGGGCUAGCGUUGUUCGGAAUUACUGGGCGUAAAGCGCUCGCAGGCGGAUUGAUAAGUCGGGGGUGAAAUCCCGGGGCUCAACCUCGGAAUUGCCUUCGAUACUGUCUAUCUAGAGUCCGGGAGAGGUGAGUGGAAUUCCUAGUGUAGAGGUGAAAUUCGUAGAUAUUAGGAAGAACACCAGUGGCGAAGGCGGCUCACUGGCCCGGAACUGACGCUCAGGAGCGAAAGCGUGGGGAGCAAACAGG
This 253-nucleotide ribosomal RNA is filed under the name uncultured bacterium. RNAcentral's name for it is "partial 16S ribosomal RNA". It matches the Rfam family "Bacterial small subunit ribosomal RNA", at positions 524 to 776 of the family's 1533-position model. The record is from RNAcentral.